This 716-nucleotide ribosomal RNA is filed under the name Streptomyces anulatus. RNAcentral's name for it is "bacterial SSU rRNA". It matches the Rfam family "Bacterial small subunit ribosomal RNA", at positions 8 to 740 of the family's 1533-position model. Lineage: Bacteria; Bacillati; Actinomycetota; Actinomycetes; Kitasatosporales; Streptomycetaceae. The record is from RNAcentral.
AGAGNNNGAUCCUGGCUCAGGACGAACGCUGGCGGCGUGCUUAACACAUGCAAGUCGAACGAUGAAGCCCUUCGGGGUGGAUUAGUGGCGAACGGGUGAGUAACACGUGGGCAAUCUGCCCUUCACUCUGGGACAAGCCCUGGAAACGGGGUCUAAUACCGGAUAACACUCUGUCCCGCAUGGGACGGGGUUAAAAGCUCCGGCGGUGAAGGAUGAGCCCGCGGCCUAUCAGCUUGUUGGUGGGGUAAUGGCCUACCAAGGCGACGACGGGUAGCCGGCCUGAGAGGGCGACCGGCCACACUGGGACUGAGACACGGCCCAGACUCCUACGGGAGGCAGCAGUGGGGAAUAUUGCACAAUGGGCGAAAGCCUGAUGCAGCGACGCCGCGUGAGGGAUGACGGCCUUCGGGUUGUAAACCUCUUUCAGCAGGGAAGAAGCGAAAGUGACGGUACCUGCAGAAGAAGCGCCGGCUAACUACGUGCCAGCAGCCGCGGUAAUACGUAGGGCGCAAGCGUUGUCCGGAAUUAUUGGGCGUAAAGAGCUCGUAGGCGGCUUGUCACGUCGGAUGUGAAAGCCCGGGGCUUAACCCCGGGUCUGCAUUCGAUACGGGCUAGCUAGAGUGUGGUAGGGGAGAUCGGAAUUCCCUGGUGUAGCGGUGAAAUGCGCAGAUAUCAGGAGGAACACCGGUGGCGAAGGCGGNUNUCUGGGCCAUUAC